RNAcentral lists this ribosomal RNA (202 nucleotides) under uncultured Anaerolineaceae bacterium. Its description in RNAcentral is "partial 16S ribosomal RNA". It matches the Rfam family "Bacterial small subunit ribosomal RNA", at positions 1180 to 1382 of the family's 1533-position model. Lineage: Bacteria; Bacillati; Chloroflexota; Anaerolineae; Anaerolineales; Anaerolineaceae. The record is from RNAcentral.
UGAUGUCAAGUCAGCAUGACCUUUAUAUCCAGGCUACACACACGCUACAAUGGUCUGUACAAUGGGUAGCCAAGCCGCGAGGCGGAGCCAAUCCUGAAAGCAGGCCUCAGUUCAGAUUGCAGUCUGCAACUCGACUGCAUGAAGCCGGAGUUGCUAGUAACCGCAGGUCAGCAAUACUGCGGUGAAUACGUUCCCGGGUCUU